ACACAAUGAGGACACUGCCUUUGUAAAUCCUUGAACCUCUCUCAAGUCUCAUAUAAAGACUCAUCAUCCCCUUGGCAAAAAGUUGUGAUUUCAUAUCUUAGUCU
This is a small nucleolar RNA of Mangifera indica (mango), 104 nucleotides long. Lineage: Eukaryota; Viridiplantae; Streptophyta; Magnoliopsida; Sapindales; Anacardiaceae. The record is from RefSeq and is a predicted model, not a curated record.